GUGGGGAAUCUUAGACAAUGGGGGAAACCCUGAUCUAGCCAUGCCGCGUGAUCGAUGAAGGCCUUAGGGUUGUAAAGAUCUUUCAGGUGGGAAGAUAAUGACUGUACCACCAGAAGAAGCCCCGGCUAACUCCGUGCCAGCAGCCGCGGUAAUACGGAGGGGGCUAGCGUUGUUCGGAAUUACUGGGCGUAAAGCGCACGUAGGCGGAUUGGAAAGUUGGGGGUGAAAUCCCGGGGCUCAACCCCGGAACUGCCUUCAAAACUCCCAGUCUUGAGUUCGAGAGAUGUGAGUGGAAUUCCGAGUGUAGAGGUGAAAUUCGUAGAUAUUCGGAGGAACACCAGUGGCGAAGGCGGCUCACUGGCUCGAUACUGACGCUGAGGUGCGAAAGCGUGGGGAGCAAACAGGAUUAGAAACCCGUGUAGUCC
RNAcentral lists this ribosomal RNA (425 nucleotides) under uncultured bacterium. Its description in RNAcentral is "partial 16S ribosomal RNA". It matches the Rfam family "Bacterial small subunit ribosomal RNA", at positions 354 to 796 of the family's 1533-position model. The record is from RNAcentral.